Long non-coding RNA from Micropterus salmoides (largemouth bass), 499 nucleotides. RefSeq lists it as uncharacterized. Lineage: Eukaryota; Metazoa; Chordata; Actinopteri; Centrarchiformes; Centrarchidae. The transcript is spliced from 2 exons. The record is from RefSeq and is a predicted model, not a curated record.
UCAGCCGAGACUCCUCUGCUCACCUCCUCGAUGUCGUUGAAGGCCUCCACAGCUCUCAGCACCAGACCCUCCUCCUCCGACAGCACGUACACGUCCUGGAUGCCCUGUUCAAGGCGCUCACCCGGCUGCAGGAAAAAUGAGCGCUCACCCUGACAACGAGAAAGAGGGCGUCGGUUACCAGCUUUCUGGAUCUGUGGGGUCUGGAUCUGUGGUUGCAGGCUUCCUGCUGCCACCAUGUUCCUGCUCGACACCCUCUGCUACAAUUAUUAUCAUCAUUAGUCCUAUUAUUAGCAUUAUUAUCACUAUUGCCAUCACUAUCAGUACUGUUAUUUAUUUUCUGUAUGUACCACUACCACUUUUACUGUUUUGUAUUUCUGUGGUCAGUAAACAAUAUUACAAAAGCACGGUCUAGACCUGCUCGACAUGGAAAGUGCAAUGAAAUAACUUUGUGAAGAACUGGUGCUUCGUAAAUAAAAUAAAACUGAAUUACAACACAAAA